CUACGGGUGGCAGCAGUGGGGAAUAUUGCACAAUGGGCGCAAGCCUGAUGCAGCCAUGCCGCGUGUGUGAAGAAGGCCUUCGGGUUGUAAAGCGCUUUCAGCGGGGAGGAAGGCGGUGAGGUUAAUAACCUCAUCGAUUGACGUUACCCGCAGAAGAAGCACCGGCUAACUCCGUGCCAGCAGCCGCGGUAAUACGGAGGGUGCAAGCGUUAAUCGGAAUUACUGGGCGUAAAGCGCACGCAGGCGGUCUGUCAAGUCGGAUGUGAAAUCCCCGGGCUCAACCUGGGAACUGCAUUCGAAACUGGCAGGCUAGAGUCUUGUAGAGGGGGGUAGAAUUCCAGGUGUAGCGGUGAAAUGCGUAGAGAUCUGGAGGAAUACCGGUGGCGAAGGCGGCCCCCUGGACAAAGACUGACGCUCAGGUGCGAAAGCGUGGGGAGCAAACAGGAUUAGAUACCCCUGUAGUC
This 464-nucleotide ribosomal RNA is filed under the name uncultured Klebsiella sp. Its description in RNAcentral is "bacterial SSU rRNA". It matches the Rfam family "Bacterial small subunit ribosomal RNA", at positions 339 to 795 of the family's 1533-position model. The record is from RNAcentral. Lineage: Bacteria; Pseudomonadati; Pseudomonadota; Gammaproteobacteria; Enterobacterales; Enterobacteriaceae.